Long non-coding RNA from Hevea brasiliensis (rubber tree), 758 nucleotides. RefSeq lists it as uncharacterized. The record is from RefSeq and is a predicted model, not a curated record. The transcript has 2 exons. NCBI's taxonomy places the organism in Eukaryota, Viridiplantae, Streptophyta, Magnoliopsida, Malpighiales, Euphorbiaceae.
AGGAGCUGGGCAAAGGCACUAUUAUAUCCACGGUGGAAAGGUCUCUCCUUUCACUGCAAUUCUGACAGAGACACCAUUGCCCAUUUGAUAUUUCCGCAUCAGCUGCCACAGUAAUAAAACAAUUCCAGAAAUGAGCCUCAAAUUCAAUAUUUUUGAAGGUCUACGACUCUAUGUUUUCUUUACUACCAAUUAUUAAACAAGUCCCUGUUUGUCCAAACUCUGAUGGGCAUUUCUGCUCUUUAAAAUCAAUUCUUGUGGCUAAUGAAACCAAUAUGUAUCGGAUAUUAGAUGAAAUUCCCAGAUUUCAAAGUCCAGUUGCCUAGGAAUUACUGAUUCUUUCCUUGUUUGCUUUAAUCUGGGGAGAUCAAAGGUAACCCAAAUAUGCUCAUGACUUGCUAUUUGUCAUUCAAUCUUAUUUCACUGGACGGAGGUUGAAGAUAAAGCUAAUUUGAAUCUCCAUCUCUCUCUACAUGCUUAACUGCAUAGAUAUUUGGCUCACCGAUGUGGUCUCUUUUCUUUUUUAGACAGAUUGUGGGCAUAAAGUCAUCGUGUACUUGCCACUACAGUCUUCCGGAAGCUGGUAAGCUCAAGGAUGUGAGACAGAAGGCUUAAAUUUUCAAGCAUGGGCAUCAAGCUUGGAUUAGUUCAGCACAGGCCAGUUAACCAUUGAAACGAUAAGAACCUUCCUUCGAUGAAACUUAUACUAAUUUUGUAUUAUCAUGACAAUUCUUGAAUUUGAGCUUGAAUUUGCAAUCAAA